RNAcentral lists this ribosomal RNA (120 nucleotides) under uncultured bacterium. Its description in RNAcentral is "partial 16S ribosomal RNA". It matches the Rfam family "Bacterial small subunit ribosomal RNA", at positions 215 to 334 of the family's 1533-position model. The record is from RNAcentral.
GUGCUAAUGGAUGAGCCUACGUCGGAUUAGCUAGUUGGUAGGGUAACGGCCUACCAAGGCGACGAUCCGUAGCUGGUCUGAGAGGACGAUCAGCCACACUGGGACUGAGACACGGCCCAG